This 254-nucleotide ribosomal RNA is filed under the name uncultured bacterium. Its description in RNAcentral is "partial 16S ribosomal RNA". It matches the Rfam family "Bacterial small subunit ribosomal RNA", at positions 524 to 776 of the family's 1533-position model. The record is from RNAcentral.
UACAGAGGGUGCGAGCGUUGUUCGGAAUUACUGGGCGUAAAGCGCGCGCAGGCGGCCUUUUAAGUCUGCUGGUGAAAUGCCGGGGCUCAACCCCGUGCCCGCCACAGAUACUGGGAGGCUGGAGACGAGUAGAGGCAAGCGGAAUUCCGGGUGUAGCGGUGGAAUGCGUAGAGAUCCGGAAGAACACCGGAGGCGAAGGCGGCUUGCUGGGCUUGGUCUGACGCUGAGGCGCGAAAGCGUGGGGAGCGAUCAGG